This 21-nucleotide ribosomal RNA is filed under the name Beauveria bassiana. Its description in RNAcentral is "partial 18S ribosomal RNA". The record is from RNAcentral. Lineage: Eukaryota; Fungi; Ascomycota; Sordariomycetes; Hypocreales; Cordycipitaceae.
AAACCUGCGGAGGGAUCAUUA